Molecule: ribosomal RNA, 253 nt
Filed under: uncultured bacterium
Lineage: Bacteria
Description: partial 16S ribosomal RNA
Rfam family: Bacterial small subunit ribosomal RNA
Source: RNAcentral
UACGUAGGUGGCGAGCGUUGUCCGGAUUUACUGGGCGUAAAGAGCGCGCAGGCGGCUGGUCAAGUCCGAUGUGAAAGCUCCCGGCUUAACUGGGAAAUUGCAUCGGAAACUGAUCGGCUGGAAGGUGGGAGAGGGUAGCGGAAUUCCCGGUGUAGAGGUGAAAUUCGUAGAUAUCAGGUGGAACACCAGUGGCGAAGGCGGCUUUCUGGACGGUAACUGACGCUGAGACGCGAAAGCGUGGGGAGCAAACAGG